Long non-coding RNA from Anser cygnoides (Swan goose), 1745 nucleotides. NCBI's taxonomy places the organism in Eukaryota, Metazoa, Chordata, Aves, Anseriformes, Anatidae. The record is from Ensembl.
AUGAAUGACAUGAGGAAAGUUUAUUUUUUUACUCUUGCACCUGCAUGGUUCAGGUGCCCCGUGUUUGUCACAGCCCCAAGGACGCCACCGGCCCGGCCCAGGCCCAGGCCCUGCAGCAGCCCUGGGGCCACCAGCCUUUGCCCCACUGGGCCUUGGCAGGGCCUGGCAGGGCUGUGGGGAGCUGGAGCCCGGCCCUGGCCCCACGGAGGUGCCGGGGCUGCCCGGUGCCCCGCUGCUGGUGGGGCGCUGGGCCGGGCCAUGCCUGCCCCCCCCAGCCCCCGGGCCGCCCCAGGCUUUAGGCCCCAGCUGCGCCACAGGGAGGCUGUUUGCUCAUGGCAGCCAAGGAAAGCGGUACUGUUUGUGUUCUGCAGUUGUGAAAUCCACCCCCAUCUCUAUUCAGGCUGAAAACAUGUCUCAGUAUGUCCGCAUUAUCACAGAAUGGAAGCCAUGCUCUCACCGCCCCUAUUAAAUAAGGCAGGUAGUUUAUUUUCUUCCUUUAGCUUCCCAUGUCAUGCAGUUUUGGCAUUCCCAAAAGCCUUCUCAGAGACUUUCCCUUUCUAAAGAGGAGGAUUGGCUGCAAUUAAAAGAUCUCCCUCAUGUACAGCAGGAAUUACUGUGUGAAUUGCCUACUCCUGCUUUGGUCACGUACAUAAUGCUUGGUUGUCCCUGAAAUACAGUACUGGAGAGUAUAUACAUCUAUAAACCUACACUUUGUUACUGUGCUUGAGGUAAGUAUUGAAUUAAGUAUUCACUGCAGUAUCCAGCAUUGCUCUACUCUGUCAUUUACUGUCAUUGUAGAAGAGAUGGUUCCAGAUUGUUGUAUUUGGGGGUGGGUGGUAUUGCAGUUCUCUCUUUCUUUUUUUUUUUUUUUUAAGGAAAAAUAAUUAUACUAUCUAAGCUUUCUUUGUAUUUCAGACUCACGUAGAAACCUUUAUUUUUGGAGACUAAUUCUGGCGUUCCUAUGUAGUUCGCUGCUCAGGGAUGCUUAUGAUUACAGUUACUCUGCAAAAUACAAUGUAACCAAGAAUGAAACCAUGGACACUAACAAUUCCAUACUUUUGGAAAAAAAAAAAAAAAGUGACAAAUAUAUUGCUACCUUUCAGAAGUCAUAAAAUUUACAAACAAUCACUUAAAUGUGUUAAUAGCUUUAAGGAUACAAAGAGUUCAGAUAGCUUCCUGAGGUUAUCUCAAAGGAAUUGAACUUUUUGUACAAGAUGGGAUGGAAGUUCAGCAUAUGAAAGAGACAACCAUAAUGUUAAUAAGAGAUAAAGAUGUUUCUCAUAACCCUGUUUGAAAGUUUGUGAUGAAAUGUUACUAGUUUUUAAGUUGCUGGUAAGCCCCACAAGACACCGACAUGGCUUACUGAUAAUCAUAGAAAAUUGUCUUUCAUCUAGAUUUUUGUGUUUUCAUAAAAGACUUUUCAUGCGUUCAUAUCAAAUUACUGGUCCCUUCAGCUCAAACUUCAGAAGGGUUGUGGUUACCUUUCUUACUGAAGAACUAUCAUAAUGAAUAACAAUGAGCAAAGGGAGGUUGUCCAUGGAUGGUAGGGUAGUUUCAUUACCAAAAAAUACUGGUUUUGUUAUUUUAGGUGUCUUUCAGAAAGCAUGACAUAUAUUUAUUAGGAAAAAAUCCCUCAAGAUCAAAACCUGAUAAUAUGUGAAGCAUGAUUUGCAAUUACUUAGCUGUGUGUGUAUGUACUAUUUCUAUGUACUUAACAGGAAAUAAUAAAAAGUUAGUUUUCCACA